This is a long non-coding RNA of Lycium ferocissimum, 1531 nucleotides long. RefSeq lists it as uncharacterized. The record is from RefSeq and is a predicted model, not a curated record. NCBI's taxonomy places the organism in Eukaryota, Viridiplantae, Streptophyta, Magnoliopsida, Solanales, Solanaceae. The transcript is spliced from 2 exons.
CACUUCUGAUAUUUUGAUUGUUUUUCUACUCUUCUUUACCUUGGAUAUCAGAUAUUACUACUCUCUUGAUAUGGUAAAUAAUGUGGGUUUCCCUUAUGUGUACACAUUAUAAGUCUAGAAAUAUAUUGUGGAGGUUUAUAUAUGAUCCAAGGGUACUGGAUUCUUUAUUGGGGAUCUACAUUUUCAUAGAAUAAUAAAAUUGUCAAAUAUAAGUUCAUUGGUCCUUUGACUAACUUCGAAGAUGGAAGGAAGGGAUUUCUUUUGAAGACAUAGACAUCUGUUUGCAAUUCUUUACUGUAAUUGUUUGUUUCUAAUAUUAGAUUAUGGAUCUCUUUUGAAGGGAUGCAUUUUCAUUCCUUCCACUAUUAUUACUAUGUAAAUUAAAGAAGACUUACUUUACACUUCCAUAUGUAAAACAAUUCUGAAUUUUCCCUUCUUUGCUGUAACUGUAAAUAACAGAUUAAUAUUUCAAUCUUUCUCAGUUGCAUUUGUUCUAAGUGUAACUAGACUGCAACUUGAAGUUUAGAAUAUUAUAUUACUAGGUUCGUCGAUUUCUACCUAACUCGUGUUUGUCUAUUAGGAUGCUUUGAUUCCUCUUUUCUCAAAUUUAUUUGCCAACAAUGAGAAGGAAUAAGUAUCAGGUAUGAUAAAUUUGUGGUGAACUGAUUCAUUUGCAGACUUACUGCAUGAUAUCAAAUACGCAAUACUGAGAUUCUUGUUCUUCUACUUUUAGGGACUAAUAUCGAGAUUUCCUCAAUCUCCUCGAGUGUUUUGGUACUAUCUCCGGAUAACUUUGAUGAGCAAGUGAUAUCUUGGUUGAAUUUCAUGCUCAUGGUAAUUUAAAAUGUCUCACUGGCAAGUCAUUCACUUGAUUCUAGAAUUGAACAGUAAUUUCUAGUUAGAUGGUCCUGUUAAAGCACCGAAGCUGUAAUUUCUUAUCCAAAAAAAGGGUUGUACUUCAUAUCGUCAUUGACAACUAACUUAGAAGAUGGAGGAAAGGGAUUUCUUUUUUCAGAUAUAGAAAUAUGUUUGCAAUUCUCUACUCUGGAUUCAGUUCAAAUUGAUCAGAAUAGGAGGGAUUCCCUAAUAUGGACAGCUAGCAAGGACAAAAAGUUCUCAGUUAAUAACUGUUAUAAAACAUUGACGAGACAGUCAGGCUGUUUGGAACUUAAUUGGUCAUGGAAGAUAAUUUGGAAGACUAAAGCUCCCAUAAAGUGGCCUGUUGGGAACACUUGAAGCAAAUCUGGUUCACUAUUCCUCUAUGGAUUUUCUGCACUCUAUGGUUGGAAAGGUAUAUUACUUGUUUUGGAAGACAAAAAAUCUAUAUCUCUAGUAUUAAGAAUAUAUGUUUGUAUAAUCCUUUUUUCUGGUGUAAUAGCAGGCAAAUUGGAAUUAUGGAUUUCAUAUAAACGUUAGGAGGAAGAGAGUAGUUGUAUCUUUGUUGUGAUACAACAUUGUCUGGAGUCCUGUACUGUUUGUACCAUCUUGGUACCUUUUAUUAAUAAUACCUUUACCAUUUCAGAAAAAGAAA